RNAcentral lists this ribosomal RNA (301 nucleotides) under uncultured bacterium. RNAcentral describes it as "partial 16S ribosomal RNA". It matches the Rfam family "Bacterial small subunit ribosomal RNA", at positions 509 to 807 of the family's 1533-position model. The record is from RNAcentral.
CAGCCGCCGCGGUAAUACAGAGGAUGCAAGCGUUAUCCGGAAUGAUUGGGCGUAAAGCGUCUGUAGGUGGCUUUUCAAGUCCACCGUCAAAUCCCAGGGCUCAACCCUGGACAGGCGGUGGAAACUGGGAAACUUGAGUGCAGAAGAGGAGAGUGGAAUUCCACGUGUAGCGGUGAAAUGCGUAGAGAUGUGGAGGAACACCAGUGGCGAAGGCGACUCUCUGGUCUGUAACUGACGCUGAGGAGCGAAAGCGUGGGGAGCGAACAGGAUUAGAUACCCGCGUAGUCCCUGUCUCUUAUAC